GAUGAACGCUGACAGAAUGCUUAACACAUGCAAGUCAACUUGAACUUCGGUUUGGGUGGCGGACGGGUGAGUAACGCGUAAAGAACUUGCCUCACAGCUAGGGACAACAUUUGGAAACGAAUGCUAAUACCUGAUAUUAUGAUUUUAGGGCAUCCUAGAAUUAUGAAAGCUAUAUGCGCUGUGAGAGAGCUUUGCGUCCCAUUAGCUAGUUGGAGAGGUAACGGCUCACCAAGGCGAUGAUGGGUAGCCGGCCUGAGAGGGUGAACGGCCACAAGGGGACAAGAGCGCCGCCCUUCCCCCUGACGGGGGCAGACAGUGGGGAUUAUGGGAAAAGGACCAAAGAGUUAGAUAGUGCAUUUUUGUUGACAGAAUAAAUUUUUGGGAAAUAAAAAGGGUUUUCAGUGGAAAAAAAAAAAAUGAGGUUCAAAAAAAAAAAGGGGACCACUAAAUAGGUC
This 455-nucleotide ribosomal RNA is filed under the name uncultured bacterium. RNAcentral describes it as "partial 16S ribosomal RNA". It matches the Rfam family "Bacterial small subunit ribosomal RNA", at positions 28 to 492 of the family's 1533-position model. The record is from RNAcentral.